This is a long non-coding RNA of Micropterus dolomieu (smallmouth bass), 818 nucleotides long. RefSeq lists it as uncharacterized. The record is from RefSeq and is a predicted model, not a curated record. NCBI's taxonomy places the organism in Eukaryota, Metazoa, Chordata, Actinopteri, Centrarchiformes, Centrarchidae. The transcript has 3 exons.
CAGCAGUGUGACACAUGAGCAUCACAUUCAGAGCAUCAUUAUAUAUUUUGAGUCAGCAUUCGGUGAGUUUGAAGAAGCAGGACAAGGACAUUCAGAAACAAACACUGCUGAUAAGGAAUUCAACUACAUACAUUAGAUAUGUCCAUAAACUCUGCCUCCAACUCCAGCUAUGUGCUAUUAUUCCGUUGCACUGACUCCAGAGUUAACAGUAAUAUCACCAUGGCCAUCAAUGCCGUAAGAACCAUCCUCACCCUGCCUGUUUGCACCCUCGUCCUCUACCUGGGUCUCCAACGAUGGCGGCAGCAGCACUCCUUUAAAACAACAAGCCACUCUGACAUCUUCACCUUCCACAUGGCUGCCAUGGAGCCGAUCUGGCUGUUGGGGACCAUCUGCUACAUGUUGGGCAUGUAUGCUAAUCUCCCAGAGAUGCUUAUGUAGGAAUUUGUUUUCUAUGGAGAGACUCUCUUUCACAUCCUGACCUGUGUGGACCGAUACCUGGCUGUUGUUCACCCCGUCACCUACCUGGGGCUAAGAAAUGCGCCUGGGGGCAGGAUCAGAAACAUCAGCAUUGGGUGUGUUUGGCUGCUGUGCUUUGGAUCGCCUUUCUGUUCUCUGUGUUCGUUCGGAUUCGUCCAGGGCCAGGGGGAGGAGGCAGGGAAAAGGAGUGGAUUGACAAAACAAAGCAGAGAGCUUUCCACACCAUCGCAGCCAUAACGGGAGUGCUGUGGUUGUGGUUUUUAGGGCUCCUUGUUUCUGCUGCUCUGUACAGCUCAGCACUGCUGAGCUACAAUUUUGGCUGUGUGGUGAUAAUAUGUAAA